This 715-nucleotide ribosomal RNA is filed under the name Auritella hispida. Its description in RNAcentral is "LSU rRNA". It matches the Rfam family "Eukaryotic large subunit ribosomal RNA", at positions 34 to 701 of the family's 3401-position model. Lineage: Eukaryota; Fungi; Basidiomycota; Agaricomycetes; Agaricales; Inocybaceae. The record is from RNAcentral.
UUAAGCAUAUCAAUAAGCGGAGGAAAAGAAACUAACAAGGAUUCCCUUAGUAACUGCGAGUGAAGUGGGAAGAGCUCAAAUUUAAAAUCUGGUGGCCUUCUGUUGGGCUGCUCGAGUUGUAAUCUAAAGAAGUGGCGCCCGCGCUGAAACUCAUGUACAAGUCUUCUGGAAUGGAGCAUCAUAGAGGGUGAGAAUCCCGUCUUCGACAUGAGCUGUUUUUCAGGGCUUUGUGGUGUCGCUCUCGAAGAGUCGAGUUGUUUGGGAAUGCAGCUCAAAAUGGGUGGUAAAUGCCAUCUAAAGCUAAAUAUUGGCGAGAGACCGAUAGCGAACAAGUACCGUGAGGGAAAGAUGAAAAGAACUUUGGAAAGAGAGUUAAACAGUACGUGAAAUUGCUGAAAGGGAAACGCUUGAAGUCAGUCACAUCGGCUUGGAAUCAACCUUUGCUUCUGCUGGGUGCACUUCCUUGAAUUUUUCCGAUGGGUCAGCAUCAAUUUCGAUCGUUGGAGAAAGGUCAGAGGGAACGUGGCAUCACUUUUGUGGAUGUGUUAUAGCCCAUUGACCAUAUGCGGCGGUCGAGAUUGAGGAACUCAGCACGCCCCCACAAAGGGCUUUUUUUCUAAAAAUUCGUGCUUAGGAUGGCUGGCAUAAUGGCUUUAAGCGACCCGUCUUGAAACACGGACCAAGGAGUCUAACAUGCCUGCGAGUGUUUGGGUGG